RNAcentral lists this ribosomal RNA (483 nucleotides) under uncultured bacterium. RNAcentral's name for it is "partial 16S ribosomal RNA". It matches the Rfam family "Bacterial small subunit ribosomal RNA", at positions 29 to 506 of the family's 1533-position model. The record is from RNAcentral.
AUUGAACGCUGGCGGCAUGCUUUACACAUGCAAGUCGAACGGCAGCGCGGGCUUCGGCCUGGCGGCGAGUGGCGAACGGGUGAGUAAUGCAUCGGAACGUGCCCAGUAGUGGGGGAUAGCCCGGCGAAAGCCGGAUUAAUACCGCAUACGACCUGAGGGUGAAAGCGGGGGACCGAAAGGCCUCGCGCUAUUGGAGCGGCCGAUGUCGGAUUAGCUAGUUGGUGGGGUAAAGGCUUACCAAGGCGACGAUCCGUAGCUGGUCUGAGAGGACGACCAGCCACACUGGGAACGGAAACACGCCCCGACCCCCACGGGGGGCACGAGGGGGGAAUUUUGGACAAUGGGGGCAACCCGUAACCCGCCAAGCCGGGGGCGGGAAAGAGGCCUUCGGGUUGUAAACCGGUUUUGUUCGGGAAAAAAUCCCCUGGGCUAAUACCCCGGGGGGAAGAAGGUACCGGAAGAAUAAGCAACGGCUAACUACGU